UGCGUAGGUGGUUCCAUAAGUCAGUGGUGAAAUACGGCAGCUUAACUGUCGAGGUGCCAUUGAUACUGCGGGACUUGAGUACAGACGAGGUAGGCGGAAUUGACGGUGUAGCGGUGAAAUGCUUAGAUAUCGUCAAGAACACCGAUAGCGAAGGCAGCUUACUAGACUGUAACUGACACUGAGGCACGAAAGUGUGGGGAUCAAACAGGAUUAGAUACCCUGGUAGUCC
Molecule: ribosomal RNA, 229 nt
Filed under: uncultured bacterium
Lineage: Bacteria
Description: partial 16S ribosomal RNA
Rfam family: Bacterial small subunit ribosomal RNA
Source: RNAcentral